Molecule: small nucleolar RNA, 170 nt
Filed under: Chlamydomonas reinhardtii
Lineage: Eukaryota; Viridiplantae; Chlorophyta; Chlorophyceae; Chlamydomonadales; Chlamydomonadaceae
Description: CrACA41b snoRNA
Source: RNAcentral
CGCCUCUGUGUACAAUACCCCGUGCACCACCGUGUGGGAGUGUUGAAGGAGAGUCGCGAAAGUACCCCAUACCUGUUGGCAAACGGCCGCUCUGCUCCGGCUGCGUAUGGCACUGAUCCUUCGUCAGCGCAGUCGCAUGAGCUUGGCAGCAACCUCUGGCAGGCACAGUC